UUGACAGUGCACGUGCCUCUCAAAAGUCCAAACCCUAAAUUUGAAAUCAACCCAAAAGUCCAAAGUUUCAUUCGAGUAGCUCCUGGUUCUUAUCUCUCCCGCACUGUUCUCGUUCUUUCUAUGCGUGAAUUGAACCAAACUUUCAUUCGAGACAGUUGAACUGUCGAAAAAGGUCAAAAGACGCUUCAGAUGUAUUACCUUGGUUUUUUAAAAAGCCGAAAACUUGAGGAGAAAAUGGAAGUUGUAAAUGAACAAGAUUCUCAUCAUCCACUCCCUCCUAUUCGUGCUUCAACUCCUCAACAUAUGACGUUUUUUUUUUGCUUAUUCUGAGCUCAAUUUUGUUAGCAUUGCUGUGGCGUACGAACGACCACACCCAUGAAAGGAAGUCCCGGAUCUGGUGGUGACGCGGCUAAGGUUCCGUCGUUGGAGUUGUGACUGUGGCGUACGAACGGGUAUUCAGGUCAACGGUGAUGGUUGGAAUACCCUGGAUUGGACCUGAGCAUAGCUUUUUGAAAGAUCUAGGUCGUACCGAAUAGUAUAUCAUCACUGAUGAAGAAGCAUUGGAAGGAAAAUCCUACAACAAUAAUGGUCCUUCUUACAGUAUAUGGUCAUGUUCUUGCUGAAUGUUUAAAAGAUGAAAGCACACCUCUAAGGCUCGCAGCUGAAGUGUGACACUAGGAGAUGAAGAGGCACUAUCCACUACCGAAGUGUUCUUUACAAGAUGGUUGCUUGGUUGGCCUCCCUAUUUAAAGAGCGCAUCAUAUACGUGAUGCGCUCGCAUCACGCAUCGCGCAUCAGAUUUUUCGACAAAACGCAUGCGCAUCACACUAUUUAAGAAGUUGACACAUUAUGCACCUGGUGUGCCAAUCUUCCUUGUUGGGACCAAACUUGGUGAGUCAAUCUCUCUUCCUUCUAUCCUUCAUGAAGAAACACAACAUCAAGAAAACACAUCGUGACAAAUGUCACACAUCGUAACAGCAUGAAUGGUAAAACACAGCUUC
Molecule: long non-coding RNA, 1001 nt
Filed under: Helianthus annuus (common sunflower)
Lineage: Eukaryota; Viridiplantae; Streptophyta; Magnoliopsida; Asterales; Asteraceae
Source: RNAcentral